Molecule: long non-coding RNA, 254 nt
Filed under: Elaeis guineensis (African oil palm)
Lineage: Eukaryota; Viridiplantae; Streptophyta; Magnoliopsida; Arecales; Arecaceae
Description: long non-coding RNA (EGUI_LNC046462)
Source: RNAcentral
UGACUGAAGGAGUCUUUAAUUGGUUUUAAACUAAAGAUGGUCUUUGUUCGACUCAACUGAAGAAGUCUUUGAUCGACUUUAAAUUAAAGAUGGUCUUUAUUUGGUUUGACUAAAAGAGUCUUUGGUCGCUUUUAAAUUAAAGAUGAUCUUUGUUCGGCUCGACUGAAGGAGCUCUUAAUUGACUUUAAACUAAAAAUAACUUUUGUUUGAUUCGACUGAAGGAGUCUUUGUUCGACUUUAAACGAAAUGACCCA